UGAGGAAGGAGUUAAGUCCAGCAGUUUCCACACCGAAGCCCGAACUAUUGGACGAGGCACCCGCUUGAAUAGGAAAGCCACGAGUUAAGCAGUGCUUUCCAUUAGCGAGGUGGACUGACGGACCAGACCUCUGACGCUAAGCAAACUCUCCCAAUUUAUACCCGAAGCCCAGCUAAGCAAACUCUCCCAAUUUAUACCCGAAGCCCAUUAAAUACGUUGUUAGAGGCGUUGGCAGGAGCUGUGAAAAAGCAAGUCUCAAGUAAUACAAGUCUAAAGUCAUAUAUAUAAGUAAGUGAGUAACAAUAAGUAAGUAAGUAACAUAUUAUCAAAUAAUAAGUAAGUCAAAUAUUAUAUAAUUCAUUGCUGAUGGCAACAUCUUGACUUUGCUAAAUUCAUAGCUGAUAGAAACAUCCUUGACUUUGCUUCUUUGAAGAGAGUACACAAUCAACGCGCCACAACAUUCAAUUCCUAAUAAGAAUAAUAAGACAAAAGAUAUGUCCAUCAAAAGGUCUGGCUUAUCUCUUCUCUCAAUCUAUUGGCUUCUUGCCACUUAUCAAGUAUUAUUGCUUUCCUCCCACCUUUCUUUCUCUGGAUCAACUGCAUAUCAUCAAAAACAGAAAUAAGAAAAAGCUAUCCGGCAUAAGAUUGGAACUUACUCAUAGUCUAGUGAUAGUGAUUUCACCGUUAUGUGUUCUGUUGAAAGAUCCAUCCUAUCAAGGAGUAGGAACCAACAACCCAAACCAAUUAUAGUUAUGUUAUGGCGUGUCUGUAGGACCGGUCUGAAACAAUAGAGCGAUCGCUCCUGUUUGAUCCUGGCCCCCCUGUAAUGGAGAUUGAAUCGCACAUCCACACAUCUUUCAAACUCGAGUUAUUUGCUUGGCUUUCAUCGGCUAUUUUCUUGACAUCUUUAUUACCCCCAUUUCCAGAGGCUAAGCGGGUAAGGCAAGGAAACCCAUUAGUCCAGAAGUGGGAAAAAGGAGAAAGGUAAGGAAACCCAUUAGUCUAGAAGUAGUAAAAAGGAGAAAGGUAAGGAUUGCGAAGCCCUCUGACCCCGUUCACCCACAUAUCAUUUUCAAACAGGGAUCUAACUUCUUGUGGGCCUUUCUUAUUCUUGAGUUCCGUAGAGCUGAUUCCAAGCCAUAAACAUUUGGAAUUGCAAAAGUGUCGAAUGUGCUUGAAAAGAAAGGCCUUACGACCGUUCAGUUAGGCGCUCCUUGCAAGAUAGCAUUUCAUUGACCGAUACUUUCUUGCUUAUUUUCUGAACUUUGACUUGGAAUUGCCCCAUUUGUAGAUUCUCGAAUGUAGUUGGUGGCGAUAUUACAGAUAUGAAAGCCAUUGAUUCUCUGGAUUGGGAAGAACAAAAGUAUCAGAGGAUGGGAUGGAGCAAGAAGAUUACCAAGAGGAAGAUGACCAGGGACGGGACCCUGGGUCCGAGUGCUGAAGCGUUCCAUUCCAAUGCGAGACGAUCCAGGCCAUAUGCUCUAACCCUUCCUUAUGAUCCCAGUAUAGCCCGCCAUCGACCUCCCUCGCCCUUGUCCGGCUAGACUAAACUAGGCCUCAGCUCAGUGAUGGAGUCUAACCCUAAAGGCCCGUUGGGGUUUGGGUCCCGUGUGGGGUCUAUAGGCAAACCCUUAUCCUGAAAAACCAUUAAUGGCUUAUAGUACCAUACCAGUUCUUAGCCCCUUGACUAUGCCCAUUCCCACUCUUCGGCACAGAACGACAGAAAGAAAGCUGUGAAAGAAAUGCCUUAGCGCUCCCCUGUUACCACCACCCCCUUCUCCGCAAAAGCUGGGUCUAUCUUGAAUGUAUCCUCUGCCUCCAUGGGAAAAGGCUAAGUCCCGUUCUCUCUUUAGAAAGGUAAAAGAUACCCUGAUAAUAGUGCUAUAGAUAAUAGUGCUAUGGUUUAUAGUGCGUGCUAUACUAGAUAAUAGUGCAAUGGUUGAUGGUGCUCUAGAUGAUAAUGCUAUAGAUAAUAGUGCAAUGGUUGAUGGUGCUAUGGUUGAUGGCGAACAUCUCCUUGAAGACGUCAAACUAGAAUGGCAUGCCCCGACCCGACGUCACAAGGUCCCAGCAAAGCUCGACUUAGG
This 2087-nucleotide long non-coding RNA is filed under the name Musa acuminata (dwarf banana). Its description in RNAcentral is "long non-coding RNA (MACU_LNC008091)". The record is from RNAcentral. Lineage: Eukaryota; Viridiplantae; Streptophyta; Magnoliopsida; Zingiberales; Musaceae.